CGGGUGAGUAACACGUGAGCAACCUGCCUUUCAGAGGGGGACAACAGUUGGAAACGACUGCUAAUACCGCAUAAAAUAACGGAACCGCAUGAUUCUGUUAUCGAAGGAGAAAUCCGCUGAAAGAUGGGCUCGCGUCUGAUUAGAUAGUUGGUGAGGUAACGGCCCACCAAGUCGACGAUCAGUAGCCGGACUGAGAGGUUGAACGGCCACAUUGGGACUGAGACACGGCCCAGACUCCUACGGAAGGCAGCAG
RNAcentral lists this ribosomal RNA (253 nucleotides) under uncultured bacterium. Its description in RNAcentral is "partial 16S ribosomal RNA". It matches the Rfam family "Bacterial small subunit ribosomal RNA", at positions 103 to 354 of the family's 1533-position model. The record is from RNAcentral.